AUAUAUAUAUAUUAGUUUUUAAUAAUAUAAUAUGUGAUUGGAUGGAAAUAUAAAAUAUAUAUCGAUUUGAGAAAAAAUCGGAGAAAAAAAAAAAAAAAAAAAAAACUAAAGAAAAGUCCUAGUUCCCUGAGCACUUUCCUUCAAAACCUCCUUCAAAUAUCAAAAGGAAAAGUCAGCCCGAGUCCACAACCAGGAUGCGUAGGCGUGCAGUCUCAUUGGUGAAGACGAAAAGCAAAAAUCAUCCUUUCUAGUUGGAAGCCAAUGAGGCUCACAUCGUCUACCUAUUUUGAAUUGUUAUAUGUAGCUGGCUUCCAAUUUCUCCCACAUCGACUAGUUACAAAAUGAAUUACAUGUUUAUGAGGCGAAGCGUGGCAGAAGAAGAGCGUCCCCUUGGGGACAUCCGAUAAAAUUGGAACGAUACAGAGAAGAUUAGCAUGGCCCCUGCGCAAGGAUGACACGCACAAAUCGAGAAAUGGUCCAAAUUUUUUUCGUUAAAUUUCGCUCUGCGAUUUUGCGGCUAUGCCUCUCAGUAUCUCACUCUCUUUGAUCAAGUUCUCUUUCAAUCGUACUGGUGCUCAAUGGGUAAAGCUGAGAUCUUUCAUGUCUUAUUUGGGAUUCCGCGCGAGUCAUUGUGAAACUAGGGUUUCUUUUCUGCUUCUCCAAAUUAUAAUUUUAAUUUAGUACAUAUUGAAGUUAGGGCAGUUUGGCAAUUACGAGUGUUGAUGUUGUUAUUUUGAAUAUCGAAGCUCGAGAUGUUUCUCUACAGUUGAAGCUUUUGAGGUUUUUGUGUCACGAGGUGUUGUUUUAGAACAUUAGGACUGGCUAGUUAUUCUUUCAGAGGGAGGAGAACAUAGAAAUGAUUUUUGUAGGUGUGGAAAUCUUCUUUACUGGCUCGGAGAUUCGAGGGAUGUUCCAGAAUAUUUAUUUUCCGGUAUUAAAUUACUCUUUCUGACUAUAGCUUCUUAUCAUCAUUAGGAGUGUUCAUUCAUAAUGAAGGAGUACGCACACGCACAGGUCCGCAGAACACGUGAUCACUUUUUCUGCUCUCAUUGAAGCUCACCAAACCAACUGAUAGGAGUUGGACUUGAGUCUGUCUUGAAUGUCAUAAGAGUGAUUAUAGGCAGAACCAUUGCCUUGGCUUGUCAUUGUCAAAUUCUGAAUGAUCAUCCCUGCGUUGGCCCAACUCAUGAAAUUUCCAAAACAUGAGUCAUUAGCAUCCCCUGAGUUGGCCCCAACUGUGGUUAGGAUUCCAGAGGGACCGCCUGAGAUGAUCUCGACAGCUGCCCUGCCUUUAGGGACCAAAUAGUGCUUAGAGUCUAUGUAUUUCACUGUUCCUAUGACGGACCAUUGCGGGAGUGAAGAUUGCAUUUCAUUUGGUUAAUCAUUUAGUAAAGGGGAUGCUAAGUGCACCCACGGUCUGCACCGACUGUGCAUUUUGUGUGUGUUUCCAAUACACGAAGCAUUAGCAUCCCCCAUUGUGAACUCCAGAGUACAGGUAGAAUCCUUGGUGAGCAGUGCUGUGGUUAGGAUUCCAGAGGGACCGCCUGAGAUGAUUUCGACAGCUGCCCUGCCUUCGGGGACCAAGUAGUGCUUAGAGUCUAUGUAUUUCACUGUUCCUAUGACAGACCAUUGCGGGAGUGAAGAUUGCAUUUCAUUUGGUUCUUCAUUUAGAAAAAUCCUCUUUCCGGAGCUUUUGAGAAAUGCUGGACCCACCUCAAAUCCACUGUUCACUAGCAGGUUGCCUGCAAUUGAACUGGCAAAAUUUAUUGCUAAACGACCACAAGUCUUGGUGCCCCUUAUGGUACAAGUAGUUGUAGUAUGUGUGCUUCAUCUGUGCAAAGAUUUAAGGCGUAAACUGACUCUAUAAGCAAGCAGUUUUUGUAGGUACAGGUGCUUGUUCUGACUAAUGCUUAAAAAUUGCUUUAGUCAAUUGAUUUUGUGGAUGGGGUAUCGUAUCAGAAAAAAAAACGUGGAUUGGGAGCAUUGUUAAGAUUUUAAGAAGCUGCUGAGAAUAAUAUUGCAACAACUAGUGAAUAGAUAGCUAGAAUCAAAGAUUUAGCUAUGCAACACUCGGGUUUGGUUUAGUUAGAACUUGGAACUUGGAAGUGGUUCUAAUGAUUUAUUUAUUUAUUUUAAUAUUAUUCUUACAAUAUGGAUUAUUAGCUGAUUUUGUUUAAGCGUGGCUCUCAUAUUUCCUUUACAUAUUGUCAUUGGGAACAGUUUUCAACUUUUCACUCUCCGGAACGAGGAUGAAUGUGGGAGAACAUAGUCCAUGUAGUUCCUGUCGGAUUUGAAAGCCUGGUAGAUUUUGCUACCCUGACCCAACAUGGUCAAAUUCCCGGCAAUGAGGUGUCGGGACCUGAAGUUACAUACCAAACUGUUCCACUAAAUGACCAACUGGGGAUGCUGUUGUAUUUUUUUUCUAGACCAAAUAUGGAGCGGUGGCGUUUGCAGCCAUUAUUUUUUCUGUGAAGAAAAUUUUGCCACUAGUGGUAAUCUUUUCUCAGCUCUAAUUGAAUUUUCUUGUGGAGUUUGGAAAAAUGCCAACUUUCCGAUGACAAUGCUCUGCAACGACAUGAAAAGCACCGCAAGAGCCAUGGAAUGAAACUAUGAGAGAGGAAAGGAGCGAAAUACCUUGAUUUGAAAAUCUUCAACGCAGUGGCAAUUGCUAUAAUUUAGUACAAUUUUGAUUGCAUCCUUGUUUUGCCCACGUUUCUGUACAUGUGAACAUUGUUAAUUUAACGUGAAAGAGCGAAAUGCCUUGAUAUGAUUUCCUACUGCCAUAAUGCCAAGAAUAAAUCUCAAAUGCA
Carya illinoinensis is the source of this 2810-nucleotide long non-coding RNA. RefSeq lists it as uncharacterized. NCBI's taxonomy places the organism in Eukaryota, Viridiplantae, Streptophyta, Magnoliopsida, Fagales, Juglandaceae. The transcript is spliced from 2 exons. The record is from RefSeq and is a predicted model, not a curated record.